Molecule: ribosomal RNA, 492 nt
Filed under: uncultured bacterium
Lineage: Bacteria
Description: partial 16S ribosomal RNA
Rfam family: Bacterial small subunit ribosomal RNA
Source: RNAcentral
AGUGAACGCUGGCGGUAGGCCUAACACAUGCAAGUCGAACGGCAGCACAGUAAGAGCUUGCUCUUACGGGUGGCGAGUGGCGGACGGGUGAGGAAUACAUCGGAUUCUACUUUUUCGUGGGGGAUAACGUAGGGAAACUUACGCUAAUACCGCAUACGACCUACGGGUGAAAGCAGUGGAUCUUCGGACCUUGCGCGACUGAAUGAGCCGAUGUCGGAUUAGCUAGUUGGCGGGGUAAAGGCCCACCAAGGCGACGAUCCGUAGCUGGUCUGAGAGGAUGAUCAGCCACACUGGAACUGAGACACGGUCCAGACUCCUACGGGAGGCAGCAGUGGGGAAUAUUGGACAAUGGGCGCAAGCCUGAUCCAGCCAUACCGCGUGGGUGAAGAAGGCCUUCGGGUUGUAAAGCCCUUUUGUUGGGAAAGAAAAGCAGCAGGUUAAUACCCCGCUGUUCUGACGGUACCCAAAGAAUAAGCACCGGCUAACUUCGUG